This 22-nucleotide microRNA is filed under the name Drosophila virilis. Its description in RNAcentral is "dvi-miR-9538b-3p". The record is from miRBase by way of RNAcentral. Lineage: Eukaryota; Metazoa; Arthropoda; Insecta; Diptera; Drosophilidae.
UGAGAUCAGUCAGAACAAUUCG